CUGGUAUGAUUUGGGUUUAGUAGUCUAUGAUCUUUCUUUUUCUUCUUUUUAAAACAAAAUGGAAGAAAUAUAGAAGGGAAUUUAUAGAUGUAUGGGAGUUGAGGUAACCUUGCGUCGAGUUCUUCUUGAGUGUGCUGCUGUCUUUUGUUUGAGAUUUUUCUGUAACAAAGAAAAGAUCGCUUGGUUGUUCAUAGGAAAAAGACAAAAGAGAGAGUGAAUGAAGUUACUGAAUUUGGUUGGAGUCUUGAGCUUUUGUAAGCAGCAAUGAAGUAUUUGACAGAUGCUGUUGUUAUUGAUUUCAUCCGAUAAAAAGUCAAGCUCAUUUCUGCAGUUGAAAAGUAAUUGAAUGAAAGAAAAUUGAAUGGGUGAAGAAACUACCUUCAGGAAUUGGAGUGCGUGGAUGGGGAAUGUUUGUGGGUGUGGUGGAUUUUAAAGAAACAAGAAGGUGAUGUGGCUGAAAGUAAGCCAAAGCUUUUGAAAAAAAAUAAACGACACUGUAGAAUUCUUGGGGAAAAAGAAAAAUGUA
This 526-nucleotide long non-coding RNA is filed under the name Salvia miltiorrhiza (redroot sage). RNAcentral describes it as "long non-coding RNA (SMIL_LNC006862)". The record is from RNAcentral. Lineage: Eukaryota; Viridiplantae; Streptophyta; Magnoliopsida; Lamiales; Lamiaceae.